RNAcentral lists this ribosomal RNA (856 nucleotides) under Ophiocordyceps rhizoidea. RNAcentral's name for it is "LSU rRNA". It matches the Rfam family "Eukaryotic large subunit ribosomal RNA", at positions 52 to 942 of the family's 3401-position model. The record is from RNAcentral. Lineage: Eukaryota; Fungi; Ascomycota; Sordariomycetes; Hypocreales; Ophiocordycipitaceae.
GGAGGAAGAACCAACAGGGAUUGCCCCAGUAACGGCGAGUGAAGCGGCAACAGCUCAAAUUUGAAAUCCGGCCCCCCGGGCCCGAGUUGUAAUUUGCAGAGGACGCUCCCGGCGCGGCGCCUUCCGAGUUCCCUGGAACGGGACGCCACAGAGGGUGAGAGCCCCGUCCGGUCGGACGCCAAGCCUCCGUGGAGCUCCUUCGACGAGUCGAGUAGUUUGGGAAUGCUGCUCAAAAUGGGAGGUAUAUGUCUUCUAAAGCUAAAUACCGGCCAGAGACCGAUAGCGCACAAGUAGAGUGAUCGAAAGAUGAAAAGCACUUUGAAAAGAGGGUUAAACAGUACGUGAAAUUGUUGAAAGGGAAGCGCUCGCGGCCAGACUCGGGCCCGGCGGAUCAUCCGGCGUUCUCGCCGGUGCGCUCCGCCGGGCCCGGGCCAGCAUCGGUCCGCGGCGGGGGACAAAGGCUCCGGGAACGUGGCCCCCACGGGGGUGUUAUAGCCCGCUGCGCAAUGCCCCGCGGCGGACCGAGGUACGCGCCCCGCAAGGAUGCUGGCGUAAUGGCCUCCAGCGACCCGUCUUGAAACACGGACCAAGGAGUCGUCUUCGUAUGCGAGUGUUCGGGUGUCAAACCCCUACGCGCAAUGAAAGUGAACGCUGGUGAGAGCCUCGGCGCAUCACCGACCGAUCCUGAUGUUCUCGGAUGGAUUUGAGUAAGAGCAUACGGGGCCGGACCCGAAAGAAGGUGAACUAUGCCUGUGUAGGGUGAAGCCAGAGGAAACUCUGGUGGAGGCUCGCAGCGGUUCUGACGUGCAAAUCGAUCGUCAAACAUGGGCAUGGGGGCGAAAGACUAAUCGAACCU